UGAGGAAUAUUGGGCAAUGCCCGAAAGGGUGACCCAGCAACGCCGCGUGGAGGAUGAAGGUCGUAAGAUUGUAAACUCCUGUUAGAGGGGAAGAAUAACUAAGUUUGGAGCUUAGUAUGACUGUACCCUCAGAGAAAGCCCCGGCUAACUACGUGCCAGCAGCCGCGGUAAUACGUAGGCAGCAAGCGUUGUUCGGAGUUACUGGGCGUAAAGAGUGCGUAGGCGGUUUUCUAAGUUCGGUGUGAAAUCUCCCGGCUUAACUGGGAGGGUGCGCCGAAGACUGGGAAGCUGGAGUGUGGGAAAGGCAGGCGGAAUUCCUGGUGUAGCGGUGAAAUGCGUAGAUAUCAGGAGGAACACCGGCGGUGUAGACGGCUUGCUAGACCAUAACUGACGCUGAGGCACGAAAGCGUGGGUAGCAAACA
This 422-nucleotide ribosomal RNA is filed under the name uncultured bacterium. RNAcentral's name for it is "bacterial SSU rRNA". It matches the Rfam family "Bacterial small subunit ribosomal RNA", at positions 355 to 774 of the family's 1533-position model. The record is from RNAcentral.